This 478-nucleotide ribosomal RNA is filed under the name uncultured bacterium. RNAcentral describes it as "partial 16S ribosomal RNA". It matches the Rfam family "Bacterial small subunit ribosomal RNA", at positions 28 to 507 of the family's 1533-position model. The record is from RNAcentral.
GAUGAACGCUGGCGGCGUGCUUAACACAUGCAAGUCGAACGAGAAGUGGAGACGGAAACCUUCGGGCGGAAGACUUUAUUUCGAGUGGCGGACGGGUGAGUAACGCGUGGGUAACCUGCCUCCUACAGGGGGAUAACAGUUGGAAACGACUGUUAAUACCGCAUAAGACCACAGCACCGCAUGGUGCGGGGGUAAAAACUCCGGUGGUAUGAGAUGGACCCGCGUUCGAUUAGCCAGUUGGCGGGGUAACGGCCCACCAAAGCGACGAUCGAUAGCCGAUCUGAGAGGAUGACCGGCCACAUUGGGACUGAGACACGGCCCAAACUCCUACGGGAGGCAGCAGUGGGGAAUAUUGCACAAUGGGGGAAACCCUGAUGCAGCGACGCCGCGUGAGUGAAGAAGUAUUUCGGUAUGUAAAGCUCUAUCAGCAGGGAAGAAAAUGACGGUACCUGAGUAAGAAGCCCCGGCUAACUACGUG